RNAcentral lists this ribosomal RNA (442 nucleotides) under uncultured bacterium. RNAcentral describes it as "partial 16S ribosomal RNA". It matches the Rfam family "Bacterial small subunit ribosomal RNA", at positions 338 to 795 of the family's 1533-position model. The record is from RNAcentral.
UCUACGGGAGGCUGCAGUGGGGAAUAUUGGACAAUGGGGGGAACCCUGAUCCAGCGACGCCGCGUGAGUGAAGAAGUAUUUCGGUAUGUAAAGCUCUAUCGGCAGGGAAGAAAGAAAUGACGGUACCUGACUAAGAAGCCCCGACUAACUACGUGCCAGCAGCCGCGGUAAUACGUGGGGGGCAAGCGUUAUCCGGAUUUACUGGGUGAAAAGGGGGCGUAGACGGCGAGGCAAGUCUGAGGUGAAAGGCGGGGGCGCAACCCCCGGACUGCUUGGGCAACGGUAUGGCUGGAGUGGAGGAGAGGUAAGUGGAAGUGCGAGUGUAGCGGUGAAAUGCGUAGAUAUUAGGAGGAACACCAGUGGCGAAGGCGGCUUACUGGACUGUAACUGACGUUGAGGCUCGAAAGCGUGGGGAGCAAACAGGAUUAGAUACCCUGUAGUC